This 59-nucleotide microRNA precursor is filed under the name Rattus norvegicus (Norway rat). RNAcentral describes it as "Rno-Mir-217-v1_pre stem-loop". Lineage: Eukaryota; Metazoa; Chordata; Mammalia; Rodentia; Muridae. The record is from RNAcentral.
UACUGCAUCAGGAACUGACUGGAUAAGACUCAGUCACCAUCAGUUCCUAAUGCAUUGCC